RNAcentral lists this ribosomal RNA (253 nucleotides) under uncultured bacterium. Its description in RNAcentral is "partial 16S ribosomal RNA". It matches the Rfam family "Bacterial small subunit ribosomal RNA", at positions 524 to 776 of the family's 1533-position model. The record is from RNAcentral.
UACGGAGGGUGCGAGCGUUGUUCGGAAUCACUGGGCUUAAAGCGUGUGUAGGCGGAUCGUUAAGUGUCUUGUGAAAUCCCACGGCUCACCCGUGGAACUGCUGGGCAUACUGGCGAUCUUGGGCCAACUAGGGGCAACUGGAACAAGCGGUGGAGCGGUGAAAUGCGUAGAUAUCGCUUGGAACGCCAAAGGUGAAAACAGGUUGCUGGGGUUGUGCCGACGCUGAGACACGAAAGCCAGGGGAGCAAACGGG